CCGUAUUUAUUUCGACCAGGUUUCGAACGAUUGUUGUGAUGAACUCAAUCUCAAGACUUUAAUAUCUCUACGAGAAGAUGAAACUAAUGCUUAAGAUCACAACCGAUUCAAAUAUUUUUUAAAUUCUCAUAAAGAACGUCGUAAUAAGAUGAUGCAUAUCAAAAACACACCAUUAACCCUGGCUUUCCUUUAGAACAAAUACCGUUUGGACCGUAAUAAAUUUAAGCCAAUUUUUAAAUUUAGUGUUAAGGCUUAAAAAAAGGUAGCCGAUGUGUUCGGCCUCUAAGAAAUUUAUAUAUUAUGUAAGAUAAAUAGAAAACGCCAAGUAAGAGUGAAUUAUUAAAAUUAUAUGUCAUAUUGCUAUAUUUAUUACAACUAAUUGUUUUAGUAUU
Long non-coding RNA from Drosophila obscura, 392 nucleotides. RefSeq lists it as uncharacterized. The record is from RefSeq and is a predicted model, not a curated record. The transcript is spliced from 3 exons. Lineage: Eukaryota; Metazoa; Arthropoda; Insecta; Diptera; Drosophilidae.